UACAGAGGUCCCAAGCGUUGUUCGGAUUCACUGGGCGUAAAGGGUGCGUAGGCGGUCGGGUAAGUCUGGCGUGAAAUCUCCAAGCCUAACUUGGAAACUGCGUUGGAUACUAUCCGGCUCGAGGAAUGGAGGGGAGACUGGAAUACUUGGCGUAGCAGUGAAAUGCGUAGAUAUCAAGUGGAACACCAGUGGCGAAGGCGAGUCUCUGGACAUUUCCUGACGCUGAGGCACGAAAGCCAGGGGAGCAAACGGG
Molecule: ribosomal RNA, 253 nt
Filed under: uncultured bacterium
Lineage: Bacteria
Description: partial 16S ribosomal RNA
Rfam family: Bacterial small subunit ribosomal RNA
Source: RNAcentral